RNAcentral lists this ribosomal RNA (869 nucleotides) under Flavobacterium sp. RNAcentral describes it as "bacterial SSU rRNA". It matches the Rfam family "Bacterial small subunit ribosomal RNA", at positions 66 to 954 of the family's 1533-position model. Lineage: Bacteria; Pseudomonadati; Bacteroidota; Flavobacteriia; Flavobacteriales; Flavobacteriaceae. The record is from RNAcentral.
GGUAUAGUUCUUCGGAAUUAGAGACCGGCGCACGGGUGCGUAACGCGUAUGCAAUCUACCUUUUGCAGAGGGAUAGCCCAGAGAAAUUUGGAUUAAUACCUCAUAGUAUAGCAGUUUCGCAUGAAACCACUAUUAAAGUCACAACGGCAAAAGAUGAGCAUGCGUCCCAUUAGCUAGUUGGUAAGGUAACGGCUUACCAAGGCUACGAUGGGUAGGGGUCCUGAGAGGGAGAUCCCCCACACUGGUACUGAGACACGGACCAGACUCCUACGGGAGGCAGCAGUGAGGAAUAUUGGACAAUGGGCGCAAGCCUGAUCCAGCCAUGCCGCGUGCAGGAUGACGGUCCUAUGGAUUGUAAACUGCUUUUGUACAGGAAGAAACACUCCCUCGUGAGGGAGCUUGACGGUACUGUAAGAAUAAGGAUCGGCUAACUCCGUGCCAGCAGCCGCGGUAAUACGGAGGAUCCAAGCGUUAUCCGGAAUCAUUGGGUUUAAAGGGUCCGUAGGCGGUUUAGUAAGUCAGUGGUGAAAGCCCAUCGCUCAACGGUGGAACGGCCAUUGAUACUGCUAGACUUGAAUUAUUAGGAAGUAACUAGAAUAUGUAGUGUAGCGGUGAAAUGCUUAGAGAUUACAUGGAAUACCAAUUGCGAAGGCAGGUUACUACUAAUGGAUUGACGCUGAUGGACGAAAGCGUGGGUAGCGAACAGGAUUAGAUACCCUGGUAGUCCACGCCGUAAACGAUGGAUACUAGCUGUUGGGCGCANGUUCAGUGGCUAAGCGAAAGUGAUAAGUAUCCCCCUGGGGAGUACGUUCGCAAANUGAACUCAAGNAUUGACGGGGCCCCCCAANCGGGGACAUGGGUUAAUUCNA